AUGAACAAUGGGAACACAGAGCUAACCAUCUCUCACAGUGAAGCAGCCCUCAUACACCGUCAGAUGCUGACUUGGCUUGAGCUAGUAUUUCUCAGAAUUUCCCUCUGCCUCGGGGCCCCAUCUCGCCCACAAGAGCACCGGCUGGGAGGGAGCAUGAACACCCACCUCGGGCAGCGAUGCCAUGAUGCCACAGCUCCGCAGACUUGCCCCCCUCCUCUCCCUCUACCCGUGUCCUCUACACCCCCUGCCCCCAGGCAGCGAAUGCUCAGACACUUUGGCUGUGGGGCAGGGAUGGGGGGAAGGCAGGCUGCAGGGACAGAAAGCAGGCUCCGGACAACAGCAAACAUGCUGGCUCAAUGCGGAGGGUAUUCAAGGGGGCUGAGCAGGAACCAGAGAGAAAAUACAAAGGAAAACAAAGUGGAGACAAAGCCCUCCCUUGGCCACCCUGCCUCCCCUCUCACAGAUGAGCUGGGGAUGGGUGGAAUGAAACAGACUGCUGGGCGCCACCUCCCUUGUGAUCCCUGGAUGAGAACAAAGAGAGACCUGCUCACAAAGACAACCUGGCCUUGCAGGCAAGGGCAAUGGCCCCCAGGACUUUUCCAUGGCCACAGAAAGGCCAGUUCCCCGUCCCACCCUCCCCAUCCUGCCGCCUCUUACUCACGUCCUGGCUUGAGGGAUUCUGGCCCCCACACAGUGAACAGGCUGUUCUCCCACCCGGGUCCUCUGUGGCUUGGGCGGUACCUGACACAAUGCCUGGGCCCCAGCUGGGCUGGAGAGAGGGGGAGAAGGGUGGGGAGGAAGGGAAGAGCGCUGGGCCUCCUGUACGUAUGUGUGUACACACACACACACACACACACACACACACACACACACACUCUGUGCCUGCAAAGAUCUAAAACCCCUUUCAUCUUAAUAAAGGGGAACAGCAAGAGACACAAAGAGAAGACGGAGGCCAACCCAGUCGUAAAAAACUUAAGAGUCUGUGGCAGGCCUCUGUGCUGCUGCAGGAACCCGGGCUGA
RNAcentral lists this long non-coding RNA (1020 nucleotides) under Felis catus (domestic cat). RNAcentral describes it as "lncRNA (ENSFCAG00000052659.1)". The record is from RNAcentral. Lineage: Eukaryota; Metazoa; Chordata; Mammalia; Carnivora; Felidae.